CGCUGAUUGGCCGGCCGGCGGGGAGACGUUCCUGCACGCCAAACGCUCUGAUUGGACGACCGGUGGGAAAGGUUAAACCAAAAAUUUUUUUACAGCUCUAGUGUGUGUCUGUAGCUCUGAAAUUAAUUGUAGCUAAAGCUGUCUGCGCCGCUCUGAUCUACAGCCCCGGCUGCUGCUAUUCCCCCCUCCCUUGCUCGGGCGGAAUAGGGGGGCUCCUCCAGGCACCAUGAAGUAGUUUGGACAGAGGGACUCGGGGUUCCUUUUUUAAGGGGGGGCAGUCAUCUUUUCCUCCCCUUUGGAAUCCCCCCUUUUCCUUCUCUUUUCCUUUUUCUUUUUUGGAAACAUUUUUGUGCCCCCCUUCCCCCCCUCCCGCUGCAUUGGCUUUCCUUGCAGUGCUGGGUGCCUCUUGUCUUUUCCUUCCCUUCCCCGGUGGCUCCUGUCCUUGCUACAUGCCUUGCCAAGCGCUGGAGCUUGUGGUGCAAGUGCCCGGCUGCUGCUGCUCCUGCCGCCUAGCUGCUACCCAUCGCUGCGCCUCUGAAGCCACCCUUCAGGACGGACCAAGCAGCUCCCCCCUCAUCACCUUCUCCCGGCUGUGCAACUUUCCCCCUCCGCCUAGAGUGUGAUGUUGGAUAUGGGCGAUAGGAAGGAAGCGAAAAUGCUGCCCAAGUCGUCCUUUAGCAUCAACAGCCUGGUGCCUGAAGCCGUCCAGAGCGACAACAACCACAAUCACCACCACCACAACAACCACCACCCGCACCACCAUCACCACCACCACCAUCACCACCACCACCACCCCCAGCAGCAGCAGCAGCCCCAGAGAGGGACCCCGGCCGACGAAGACGACGAGGAGGAGAAAAACCAGCUCCUGCUGCAGCCCCCUGGGGUGGGGGUCGGCGUGGCGGUGGCUGCCUCUGCCUCGGGGGCGGCCACCACGUCUGGCCCCAUGGAGGUGUCCAAGGGGGACCUCUUGGCCGGCAAAGGGGAGCCGGGCUCGGCCGCUGAGCUGGACGACAAGGAGAAGGGGCCGUCGGAGGAGAAGAAGGGGGCGUCGGAAGGGGCCAAGGACGGCGGCGGCGGCGGCGGCGGCGACAGCGGGGGCAAGGAGGGCGAGAAGAAGAACGGCAAGUACGAGAAGCCGCCCUUCAGCUACAACGCGCUGAUCAUGAUGGCCAUCCGGCAGAGCCCGGAGAAGCGGCUGACCCUCAAUGGCAUCUACGAGUUCAUCAUGAAGAACUUCCCCUACUACCGGGAGAACAAGCAGGGCUGGCAGAACUCGAUCCGCCACAACCUCUCGCUCAAUAAGUGCUUCGUCAAGGUGCCGCGCCACUACGACGACCCGGGCAAGGGCAACUACUGGAUGCUGGACCCGUCCAGCGACGACGUCUUCAUCGGCGGCACCACGGGCAAGCUGCGGCGGCGCUCCACCACCUCGCGGGCCAAGCUGGCCUUCAAGCGGGGCGCGCGCCUCACCUCCACCGGCCUGACCUUCAUGGACAGGGCGGGCUCCUUGUACUGGCCCAUGUCGCCCUUCCUGUCCCUCCACCACCCGCGGGCCAGCAGCACUUUGGGCUACAACGGGACCACCUCGGCUUACCCCAGCCACCCCAUGCCCUACAGCUCCGUCUUGACUCAGAACUCGCUGGGCAACAACCACUCCUUCUCCGCCUCCAACGGCCUGAGCGUGGACAGGCUGGUCAAUGGCGAGAUCCCCUACGCCACCCACCACCUCACCGCCGCCGCGCUGGCCGCCUCGGUGCCCUGCGGCUUGUCCGUGCCCUGCUCCGGCACCUAUUCCCUCAACCCCUGCUCGGUCAACCUGCUGGCGGCGGGCCAGACCAGUUACUUUUUCCCCCACGUCCCUCACCCUUCCAUGACUUCCCAGAGCAGCACUGCCAUGACGGCCCGGGCCGCCUCGUCCUCCACCUCGCCGCAGGCGCCCUCCACGCUCCCGUGCGAGUCCCUAAGACCUUCCCUGCCGAGUUUUACCACGGGACUGUCGGGAGGACUUUCUGAUUAUUUCACACAUCAAAAUCAGGGCUCUUCCUCCAACCCGUUAAUACAUUAACCUCCAGGGGAGUCGAGACUGUAAGUGAACAUUUUACACACCUUUACCUUGUAAAUGAUAAUGGGGCGAGAGCGAGAGCGAGCGAGCGCGAGAGAGAGCGAAAGAGCGAGCGAGAACGAGAGAGAGACUAUAAAAGAACAAAAUAGGAAAAAAAAACUCACCCAGGAAAAAGUCCAGAUACCCGGGACGAGGAGGGGAAGAUGGUGCAAAGCAGCGUGGGCAACCGCGGUGGAGGAACUAUCCGAGAAAAAGGAAUUGGACGGAAGACAUUCCAAUGGGAAAAAGAGGGAUUAAUCCUACAGCAAAGUAGAUAUCUUUUUUGUGGGGCUGGCGGAGACCAGAGCCAAUAAACAAACACAGCGGA
Hemicordylus capensis (graceful crag lizard) is the source of this 2429-nucleotide RNA transcript. It is a transcript of the gene named forkhead box G1, with no coding region annotated. The record is from RefSeq and is a predicted model, not a curated record. NCBI's taxonomy places the organism in Eukaryota, Metazoa, Chordata, Lepidosauria, Squamata, Cordylidae. The transcript is spliced from 2 exons.